UACGUAGGUCCCGAGUGUUAUCCGGAAUUACUGGGCGUAAAGCGUUUGUAGCCGGAUUGAAAAGUCUGUUUUCAAAGACCCUAGCUCAACUAGGGAACGGGAAUAGAUACUUUCGAUCUAGAGAUAUUUGGAGGUUAGUGGAAUUUCCGGUGGAGCGGUGAAAUGUGUUGAUAUCGGAAAGAACGCCGAAAGCGAAAGCAGCUAACUACAAUACGUCUGACGGUGAGAAACGAAAGCUUGGGGAG
Molecule: ribosomal RNA, 245 nt
Filed under: uncultured bacterium
Lineage: Bacteria
Description: partial 16S ribosomal RNA
Rfam family: Bacterial small subunit ribosomal RNA
Source: RNAcentral